UCUUCUUCUUCUUCUUCUUCUUCUUCUUCUUCUUCUUCUUCUUCUUCUUCUUCUUCUUCUUCUUCUUUUUCCUGGAAGGAAAUCUCGCGUUUACUAUGGUUGAAAACGAGCUGACCUUCCUUAACUGAUUCAAGAAGAACGAGUUUGACCUUAAUGCCUGCAUGUUGUGAGAUCCGAGGACCAAGGGAUAAGGAAGAACAUUUAUAUGAAAUAUUUUGAAAAAAAUAAAACAAACUGCUGAUUUGCUUCUUCUAUGAUCUUCACACAAAGAUAGGGAGGAGGUGUAGACAUUUUGUACACACCGACAACAGCACUUACUUGCAUGACACAUUCAAAUCGCUGUGUUAAAAUGGACACUUAGGUUUAUUCCACAAUAUGAGGCAAAUUCCCGACCAAGCCAAAUGCGAUGUUGUAAUACUGUGCACAUCCUCUGUGUUCUCUAAUGCAGUGUAAAAUCGCCAUGAGAGACUUUGUACAUAAAAGCUUGCCAAGAAAACUGUAGCUGGAGAUCACAGCUAUAUGGCAACUUCUCUGAUUUCCUAUUUACUGAUACCUUUGGUACUGACUAUAUAAGUGUGAUUCAUUUUCUCAUUGUCCAAUAUUAACGUGUGCAAGAGAUGAUUCAAUAAAACAUGAGCACAGUGCUUCAAGGUAACUGGGUUUUGCAUAUCAUUACUUUCCUCUGGAAGGCCAUACUAAUAUGACGAGUUCUACGCAUUUGGAUUUACUGUAUCGUAUAAUAAAUCAUUUUUUCAA
Penaeus chinensis is the source of this 756-nucleotide long non-coding RNA. RefSeq lists it as uncharacterized. The transcript is spliced from 2 exons. NCBI's taxonomy places the organism in Eukaryota, Metazoa, Arthropoda, Malacostraca, Decapoda, Penaeidae. The record is from RefSeq and is a predicted model, not a curated record.